CAAUAGCGUAUAUUAAAGUUGUUGCAGUUAGAACGCUCGUAGUCGGAUUUCGGGGCGGGGCGACCGGUCUGCCGAUGGGUAUGCACUGGUCGGCGCGUCCUUCCUUCCGGAGACCGUUCCUACUCUUAACUGAGCGGGGGCGGGAGACGGAUCGUUUACUUUGAAAAAAUCAGAGUGUUUCAAGCAGGCAGCUCGCUCUUGCAUGGAUUAGCAUGGGAUAAUGAAAUAGGACUUUGGUGCUAUUUUGUUGGUUUCGAACACCGAAGUAAUGAUUAAAAGGGACAGUCAGGGGCACUCGUAUUCCGCCGAGAGAGGUGAAAUUCUCAGACCAGCGGAAGACGAACCACUGCGAAAGCAUUUGCCAGGGAUGUUUNCACUAA
This 380-nucleotide ribosomal RNA is filed under the name uncultured eukaryote. RNAcentral's name for it is "partial 18S ribosomal RNA". It matches the Rfam family "Eukaryotic small subunit ribosomal RNA", at positions 592 to 976 of the family's 1831-position model. The record is from RNAcentral.